Molecule: RNA transcript, 2411 nt
Organism: Anguilla anguilla (European eel)
Lineage: Eukaryota; Metazoa; Chordata; Actinopteri; Anguilliformes; Anguillidae
Gene name: 5'-AMP-activated protein kinase subunit gamma-2-like
Exons: 16
Source: RefSeq, a predicted model, not a curated record
UAGAUCUGCCCCUAAACACUCCCUGAAUAACUACGAGCGCAGAACAUGCUGCUGGAACGCUUUCCUAACCUAACACGAACGCGCACAUUCCCUUCCGCAGUGAAUUUGUUAAACCUGCUUGUUGACCUCUGCGAGGAUUUACAUCGCUCUGAUCGCGUUUUCUUUUGAAACUUCCGUAUGUAAGGAGUUCAGCGACUUUGUUUGUCGUUGUGCUGUACUGGCUUGUAGUAUCAGAGAGUGCGAGAAAUGGUGUAGUAUCCACUUAACUUCGCCUACAGUUAAGGUGGAGGUGCACUACACCGGACUGGGUAAUCUCACUCGAUUCUGCGGACGUAAAUUACUUGCGAACAACACAUACUCAGGACCAGAAGAAUGUGGCAGUUAUAGGUGCUUGUUUAAAACUCAACACACCGUCAACGCGUCAUCCCGUGUUCCAGGGUUUGUGAAUUAUAAAUUCUAUUCAGAAAGGCAUCGCCUGUGCGUUUAAAGGGAAACGCAGAUCCUCUAAGCACAACAUGGGCAGCACAGUGAUGGACACUAAAAGGAAGGAUGUUCCGAAGAAGAACUCUAAGAAGAAAAGAACGCUUCGGUUAAACAUGCCAGACCUGAGCUCCUUCGCCUUGCCCCUCCUGGAUGGAGAGGGGGAGCGAGCUGACAAAGACUGCACACGCAAGAGGGAAGAAAGCUGCUACUCAGCCAGCCCCACCAGAGGCUUCUUCACGAGGGGUCCGGGUGGGCGGCCCCCCAGCCCUCGCUCCGCCCCCGUCAGGCCCAAAUCCAUCCCCAGCUCCUCCCCCAAAACCAUCUUCCCCUACCCCGUCCAGCAGGAGUCCUCUCCCAAGUCCCCCCACCGCAUGAGCUUCAGCGGGAUCUUCCGCACCUCCUCCAAGGACUCCACCUCCUCCAGCACCCCCUCCUCCUCACCCUCCCCCAUUGGCAUCAAACUGUUCUCUCGCACCAGGAAAGCUUCAGGGCUUUCCACUCCGCCCACGACUCCCACCCAGACGACCAAACAUCCCUCUUUCCCCCCGGACACCCCCAGAAAUGAGCCAGAGGGCCAAGAGGUGCGUGCGCGCACCUCAUCCCUGCUCCUGGACACCGGACAGCGGCUGGGACUCCCCUCCGCCAAGCCGCCCAUCCCCUCCGCCGCCCCCACGUCUACCUCACGACCCAUAGCUGCCAUCUCGAAAGCACAGGUCUACGGUUUAGCUGAAGGCAUGCUUGAGAAACUUGAACUAGACACCGAAGCUGCUGAAGAACCUGAGAGUGAUAUAUAUAUGCGGUUCAUGAAGUCCCACAAGUGCUACGACAUUGUCCCAACCAGCUCCAAGCUAGUCGUCUUUGACACUGCAUUGCAAGUUAAGAAGGCCUUCUUUGCCCUGGUGGCCAAUGGGGUCCGAGCAGCUCCUCUUUGGGAGACAAAAAAGCAGAGCUUUGUCGGAAUGUUAACCAUCACAGACUUCAUCAUCAUACUGCAACGAUACUACAAAUCACCUCUGGUGCAAAUAUAUGAGUUGGAAGAACACAAGAUUGAAACGUGGAGAGAUCUCUACCUUCAAGAAACAUUUAAGCCAUUAGUAAACAUAUCACCUGAUGCAAGUGUUUUCGACGCGGUGUACUCGCUGAUCAAGAACAGGAUUCACCGGCUGCCCGUCAUUGACCCGGUGACCGGAAACGCACUUUACAUCCUCACACACAAGAGGAUCCUCAAGUUCCUCCAGCUCUUCGUGUGUGAGAUGCCAAAGCCGGCCUUCAUGAAGCAGACCCUGGAGGAGCUGGGGAUCGGAACCUACAGCGACAUCGCCUUCAUCCACCCCGACACGCCCAUCAUCAAAGCGCUCAACAUCUUCGUGGAGAGGAGGGUGUCUGCACUCCCCGUCGUGGACGAGUCAGGGAAAGUUGUUGAUAUUUAUUCCAAAUUUGAUGUCAUAAACCUGGCGGCGGAAAAAACGUACAACAACCUGGACAUCACGGUGACCCAGGCGCUGAAACACCGCUCGCAGUACUUCGAGGGAGUCAUGAAGUGCAACAGGCUGGAGACGCUGGAGACCAUCGUGGACAGGAUAGUCAAAGCAGAGGUCCAUCGGCUGGUGGUGGUGGACGAGAGCGGCAGCAUCGAGGGCAUCAUCUCUCUGUCGGACAUCCUGCAGGCGCUGGUGCUCAGCCCCGCAGGUAUAGACGCGCAACAUUCCUAACCCCACCCCCCCUUUCCCGGGAACCUGACCUCUGACCCCCGCCCCCAGGUCCGCAGGUUUCGGCAGAAAGGACAGCGAGACAGAGUGACGCUGCUGAGGGGGUCUUUAAGGCGCACAGUGAGCUGGGCUGCACUGGUACCCCACUAGGCCCCUGUCCCAAAUCGUCCAACCCGGGAGAUGAAGAGUUGGGCUUCACUGGACUAAUGGCCAGUGGGG